RNAcentral lists this ribosomal RNA (253 nucleotides) under uncultured bacterium. RNAcentral's name for it is "partial 16S ribosomal RNA". It matches the Rfam family "Bacterial small subunit ribosomal RNA", at positions 524 to 776 of the family's 1533-position model. The record is from RNAcentral.
UACGAAGGGGGCUAGCGUUGCUCGGAAUUACUGGGCGUAAAGCGCACGUAGGCGGCUUUCUAAGUCGGGGGUGAAAUCCUGGAGCUCAACUCCAGAACUGCCUUCGAUACUGGAAAACUCGAGUCCGGGAGAGGUGAGUGGAACUGCGAGUGUAGAGGUGAAAUUCGUAGAUAUUCGCAAGAACACCAGUGGCGAAGGCGGCUCACUGGCCCGGUAUUGACGCUGAGGUGCGAAAGCGUGGGGAGCAAACAGG